Molecule: ribosomal RNA, 637 nt
Filed under: uncultured bacterium
Lineage: Bacteria
Description: bacterial SSU rRNA
Rfam family: Bacterial small subunit ribosomal RNA
Source: RNAcentral
GCUCAACCGAAGAAGUGCAUCGGAAACUGGGAAACUUGAGUGCAGAAGAGGACAGUGGAACUCCAUGUGUAGCGGUGAAAUGCGUAGAUAUAUGGAAGAACACCAGUGGCGAAGGCGGCUGUCUGGUCUGUAACUGACGCUGAGGCUCGAAAGUAUGGGUAGCAAACAGGAUUAGAUACCCUGGUAGUCCAUACCGUAAACGAUGAAUGCUAAGUGUUGGAGGGUUUCCGCCCUUCAGUGCUGCAGCUAACGCAUUAAGCAUUCCGCCUGGGGAGUACGGCCGCAAGGCUGAAACUCAAAGGAAUUGACGGGGGCCCGCACAAGCGGUGGAGCAUGUGGUUUAAUUCGAAGCUACGCGAAGAACCUUACCAGGUCUUGACAUACUAUGCAAAUCUAAGAGAUUAGACGUUCCCUUCGGGGACAUGGAUACAGGUGGUGCAUGGUUGUCGUCAGCUCGUGUCGUGAGAUGUUGGGUUAAGUCCCGCAACGAGCACAACCCUUAUUAUCAGUUGCCAGCAUUAAGUUGGGCACUCUGGUGAGACUGCCGGUGACAAACCGGAGGAAGGUGGGGAUGACGUCAAAUCAUCAUGCCCCUUAUGACCUGGGCUACACACGUGCUACAAUGGAUGGUACAACG